CCUUCGCUUGGACGGCGCCGGAGGGCUUUGGCUCCGGAGGUUCUGCGCCUCCCUCCCGGCCCUGAGUCAGCCCUGAGGGGGCAGCAGCCGCCCGACCAGCCUUUCGCAUCCCGAGGGGCUCUCAGGAGGGGCCGCCAGGAGCCCCGCAGACCCGGCCUCUGCCCGGCCCCACCUCCGCCUCCCCCGCAGUCCUUCAGGCCCGUCCAGGGGUGGCCAUUUUCUCACUUGUGAUACAACCCUUGAAGGUGGCUCAUGUCACCUGCGUUUUGUGUCAUCUUUGCCCCCAGGCAGGUGCUGGGAGGUGGCUCUGGACGGGCUGAGCGUCAGAGCCAGGAAAGACCAGGGGGCCUCCAAAGCGGGAGAAGAUUCUUUACAGCUGGCAGGUUGGGGGUUCCCAAAAUAUUUGAGGGAGAGAAGUACCGGUGGACGGAAGUAGCUGCUGGAACUUUACCUGGUCCAGAAGACUUGGCCAGCGCUGAGUGGGGGUACCCACAAACCACAGGUGACUAUUGAUUGGCCACCUAGAGUUGCCUUUUUGGUGUGAUGGGGGAACCUAUAAAUUGAAUAGAAGGCACAGCGCAGUCCUAAACAAGCCUUGAUUCAGGAAGAUAAAUCUAUCUCCUCCUGUCCUACUAUCGCAGCACCAUUGAGUGUCCUGACAUACGGCAUUCUUGCAUGGUAUGGGAUCAGCUUUGUAGCGGACAAAGAAGGCUCUACAGAGAAUCAUUAAAACUGCCCAGAAUAUCAUCGGACUCCAGCAACCAGCCCUGGGACGACAUCUUCGAAUGUUGCUGUUUCAAAAAGUUGCAUAACAUUCUCAGACGCUCUUCCCAUCCUGCUUAUAAUCUUUUUGGACCGUUGCCUUCUGGAAGAAGAUACAGAACAAUUAAAACUCGGACCACACGUCUUCUGAAUAGUUUUUAUCCCGGAGCUAUAAUUGUACUCAACAAUGAACUAAAGGGCCACCAUCAGUGAGCUGUUGGACAGCA
Non-coding RNA from Pantherophis guttatus, 989 nucleotides. Lineage: Eukaryota; Metazoa; Chordata; Lepidosauria; Squamata; Colubridae. The record is from RefSeq and is a predicted model, not a curated record.